This 468-nucleotide ribosomal RNA is filed under the name uncultured bacterium. RNAcentral describes it as "partial 16S ribosomal RNA". It matches the Rfam family "Bacterial small subunit ribosomal RNA", at positions 28 to 507 of the family's 1533-position model. The record is from RNAcentral.
GACGAACGCUGGCGGCGUGCUUAACACAUGCAAGUCGAACGGAAAGGCCCUGCUUUUGUGGGGUGCUCGAGUGGCGAACGGGUGAGUAACACGUGAGUAACCUGCCCUUGACUUCGGGAUAACUUUAGGAAACUGGGGCUAAUACCGGAUUGGUGUUCCUGCUGCCUGGUGGGGGUUGGAAAGUUUCGGCGGUUGGGGAUGGACUGCCGGCUUAUCAGCUCGUUGGUGAGGUAGUGGCUUACCAAGGCUUUGACGGGUAGCCGGCCUGCGAGGGUGACCGGCCACAAUGGGACUGAGAUACGGCCCAGACGCCUACGGGAGGCAGCAGUGGGGAAUAUUGCACAAUGGGCGGAAGCCAGAUACAACAACGCCGGGUGCGGGAUACCGGCCUUCGGGUUGUAAACCGCUUUCGCCUGUGACGAAGCGUGAGUGACGGUAAUGGGUAAAGAAGCACCGGCUAACUACGUG